This 492-nucleotide ribosomal RNA is filed under the name uncultured bacterium. RNAcentral's name for it is "partial 16S ribosomal RNA". It matches the Rfam family "Bacterial small subunit ribosomal RNA", at positions 29 to 507 of the family's 1533-position model. The record is from RNAcentral.
AGUGAACGCUGGCGGUAGGCCUAACACAUGCAAGUCGAACGGCAGCACCGUAAGAGCUUGCUCUUACGUGUGGCGCGUGUCGGAACGGUGAGGUAUACAUCGGAUUCUACAUUUUCGUGUGUGCUAACGUAGGGAAACUUCCGCUAAUACCGCAUACGUCCUACUUGUGAAAGCAGGCGAUCUUCGGACCUUUCGCGGAUGAAUCAGCCGAUGUCGGCUUAGCUAGUUGGCGGGGUAAAGGCCCAACCAGGCGACGAUCCGUAGCUGGUCUGAGAGGAUGAUCAGGCACACUGGAACUGAGAAAGGGUACAGACUCCUACGGGAGGAAGCAGUGGGGAAUAGUGGACAAGGGAGGAAAGCCGGAUCCAGCGAAACCGGGUGGGUGAAGAAGGCGUUAGGGUUGUAAAGCCCUGUUGUUGGGAAAGAAAAGCAGCAGGUUAAUAGCCCGCGGUUCUGACGGUACCCAAAGAAUAAGCACCGGCUAACUUCGUG